GUUUUUCUUCAGUGUGCACUAUCAAAUGACUUUCCAAAUGGCUUUUCUGAGAAAAUUGCUUGAAACAAAUCUCACACUUGUAAGGUUUUUCUCCAGUGUGCACUCUCAAAUGUCUUUUCAAAUCACUUGUAGCAGUAAACUUCUUAAAACAAAUUUCACACGUAUGAGGUUUUUCUCCAGUGUGCACUCUCAAAUGUCUUUUCAAAUCACUUGUAGCAGUAAACUUCUUAAAACAAAUUUCACACGUAUGAGGUUUUUCUCCAGUGUGCACUCUCAAAUGUCUUUUCAAAUCACUUGUAGCAGUAAACUUCUUAAAACAAAUUUCACACGUAUGAGGUUUUUCUCCAGUGUGCACUCUCAAAUGUCUUUUCAAAUCACUUGUAGCAGUAAACUUC
Molecule: long non-coding RNA, 395 nt
Organism: Diabrotica virgifera virgifera (western corn rootworm)
Lineage: Eukaryota; Metazoa; Arthropoda; Insecta; Coleoptera; Chrysomelidae
Exons: 4
Source: RefSeq, a predicted model, not a curated record